Molecule: long non-coding RNA, 1078 nt
Organism: Sycon ciliatum
Lineage: Eukaryota; Metazoa; Porifera; Calcarea; Leucosolenida; Sycettidae
Exons: 4
Source: RefSeq, a predicted model, not a curated record
UAUGAUGAAUGCGAGUAUGGUUUUCAUGACUGUGGAAAAAACCCUUGCAUCAAUACCGAGGGAUCUUACCGCUGUGACUGCACUGAUAACACAAACAACGAGUCAUACCAUGGUGCUCGCUGUGAUGGAUGGACGACAAUAGGUGACUUUGGCAUUGCGGUGAAGGUUUUUCCAGUUAAUCUCAUUGUCCCAGUCGGGCCUCAUACUUACAAUGAAGCCGUUCACCGCUGCGAUACUCUUUCUGGUGGAUCAAGAGUAUACUUCUACAAUGGUAUAGGGAAUUUGGUGACGUCCUCCUUGAAAGCUCUACACGAAACUAUUGACCUUGCUAAUGACUCCAGUUCUUACUGGGUUAGGUACAAUGGUAUCGGUCAAGAAUGCUUCGAUAUUCAUGGUACAGAUGCACCUAAACAAUAUAAUUGUGAAACAAAAAGACAGGCAAUGUGCAGUCGGCCUGCUAUGUGGUACCGGAAUGAGGAUAAUGUCGAGGAACAGGACACCACCCAGUCAGGUGUGGGCAAUUCCAGGCUCAAGUGUAUGCCAAAUACAUAUUUUAUAGAGUCAACCUGGUGGCAAAAAGACACGCUCAGUGCAUACAAUGAAACUGCUGGUCAAUGCAAAAAAAACCUUGGACACACAUUGCCAAGUGCAGGAAGUGUUCCGUGUCUGGUGGAUUUCAUGGAAUUGCGAAAUAAAACCAACGUCUGGACAGAAGGUGAAAGAGCUGUGCAAGCCAAUGGAGAGUAUCAUACAACAACAACUGCUUCCAUUGUUUGUGAGGCUCAGCUGCACACGCAAUGCUGGGACGGCACUGGUUCCAAAUACAAUGUAUUUGCUUUUCCUCACUAUGAGUUUACUUGGAAAGCAGCAAAAAUCAAAUGCGAGUAUCAAGGUGGAAAGAUGUUCGAUAUAUCUCAAAACACCGAGUGUUUUAAGAACUUUCUUCUACAACUACGUUGGAGAAUUUCUUCUCAAUACAUGUGGGCAGUGAACAAUCAUGAGAGAGGCUACGGAAUGGACGAAUGGUCAUGGUUAAAGCCUGUGACCUUGCCAAACAAACGUGGAAAUACUGUUGUUU